Molecule: non-coding RNA, 195 nt
Organism: Chlorocebus sabaeus (green monkey)
Lineage: Eukaryota; Metazoa; Chordata; Mammalia; Primates; Cercopithecidae
Source: RefSeq, a predicted model, not a curated record
AGAGGAAGCCUGAGGUAUAGCAGACCCAGGCCCCAGAAGGAUGGAAAAAAUGAGGGUUGGACCCAAGAUUCUGUACUUCUAUGGAGCCCUGUGUUCUGCCCAGGUGUCAUUUACUCUCAGAGUCCUGGAAGAAGAAAUGAGCGCUGCUGAGAAAGAUGCUCCACAAGGAGGAAGGAGUCACUAUUUUCAGGAGCA